This 452-nucleotide ribosomal RNA is filed under the name uncultured Acidobacteriota bacterium. RNAcentral's name for it is "uncultured Acidobacteria bacterium partial 16S ribosomal RNA". It matches the Rfam family "Bacterial small subunit ribosomal RNA", at positions 43 to 527 of the family's 1533-position model. Lineage: Bacteria; Pseudomonadati; Acidobacteriota. The record is from RNAcentral.
CAGGCCUAACACAUGCAAGUCGAACGAGAAAGUGGAGCAAUCCAUGAGUACAGUGGCGUACGGGUGAGUAACACGUGACUAACCUACCUNNGAGUGGGGNAUAACUNCGGGAAANCUGGGCUAAUACCGCAUAANAUCUNNAGAUCAAAGNAGCAAUNCGCUUGNAGAGGGGGUCGCGGCUGAUUAGCUAGUUGGCGGGGUAACGGCCCACCAAGACGAUGAUCGGUAUCCGGCCUGAGAGGGCGCACGGACACACUGGAACUGAAACACGGUCCAGACUCCUACGGGAGGCAGCAGUGGGGAAUUUUGCGCAAUGGGGGAAACCCUGACGCAGCAACGCCGCGUGGAGGAUGAAGUCCUUCGGGACGUAAACUCCUUUCGAUCGGGACGAUUAUGACGGUACCGGAAGAAGAAGCCCCGGCUAACUUCGUGCCAGCAGCCGCGGUAAUACA